This 1661-nucleotide ribosomal RNA is filed under the name human oral metagenome. Its description in RNAcentral is "bacterial LSU rRNA". It matches the Rfam family "Bacterial large subunit ribosomal RNA", at positions 1391 to 2925 of the family's 2925-position model. The record is from RNAcentral.
CUAAGGCGAGGCCGACAGGCGUAGUCGAUGGAGAACGGGUUGAUAUUCCCGUACCAGUGAAGGACCGUCCAUACUGAUAUUGUGAUGCUAACCAUGCCGAUCACGGUGUCAUGAAGUUUUUCUUUGUGGUGUUGUGGGGUGUGUGGGACCCAAGCUUUGGAGGUAAGCGUGUUAACAGGUGUGACGCAGGAAGGUAGCCAAGCCACGCGGUGGUUGUCGUGGUCUAAGCGUGUAGGAUGACUGGUUGUUAAAUGCGCUGGUUGUGUGUCUGAGACGUGAUGGGACCCCUUGUUUGUGGGGGGAUUUGGUGAUCCUAUGCUGCCGAGAAAAGCAUCGGCGUGAGGUUUUAGCUGCCCGUACCCGAAACCGACACAGGUGAUCAGGUAGAGAAUACUAAGGCGAUCGAGAGAAUCAUGGUUAAGGAACUCGGCAAAAUGCCCCCGUAACUUCGGGAGAAGGGGGGCCCUGAGCGUGAUCUGCCCGUGCGGUGGGGAGCGUGUAGGGGUCGCAGAGACCAGGGGGAAGCGACUGUUUAUCAAAAACACAGGUCCGUGCGAAGUCGUAAGACGAGGUAUACGGACUGACUCCUGCCCGGUGCUGGAAGGUUAAGAGGAUUGGUUAGCCCUGUGUGGGCGAAGCUGAGAAUUUAAGCCCCAGUAAACGGCGGUGGUAACUAUAACCAUCCUAAGGUAGCGAAAUUCCUUGUCGGGUAAGUUCCGACCUGCACGAAUGGCGUAACGACUUCUCCGCUGUCUCAACCAUGAACUCGGUGAAAUUGCAGUACGAGUAAAGAUGCUCGUUUCGCGCAGCAGGACGGAAAGACCCCGUGACCUUUACUAUAGUUUGGUAUUGGUGUUUGGGUUGGCUUGUGUAGGAUAGGUGGGAGACUGUGAAGCCGCUACGCUAGUGGUGGUGGAGUCGUUGUUGAAAUACCACUCUGGUCAAUCUGGAUGUCUAACUUCGGGCCAUGAUCUGGUUCAGGGACAGUGCCUGAUGGGUAGUUUAACUGGGGCGGUUGCCUCCUAAAGUGUAACGGAGGCGCCCAAAGGUUCCCUCAGCCUGGUUGGCAAUCAGGUGUUGAGUGUAAGUGCACAAGGGAGCUUGACUGUGAGAGUGGCGACUCGAGCAGGGACGAAAGUCGGGACUAGUGAUCCGGCAGUGGCUUGUGGAAGCGCUGUCGCUCAACGGAUAAAAGGUACCUCGGGGAUAACAGGCUGAUCUUGCCCAAGAGUCCAUAUCGACGGCAUGGUUUGGCACCUCGAUGUCGGCUCGUCGCAUCCUGGGGCUGGAGUCGGUCCCAAGGGUUGGGCUGUUCGCCCAUUAAAGCGGUACGCGAGCUGGGUUCAGAACGUCGUGAGACAGUUCGGUCCCUAUCCGCUGCGCGCGUUGGAGAAUUGAGAAAGGCUGUCCUUAGUACGAGAGGACCGGGACGGACGAACCUCUGGUAUGUCAGUUGUACCGCCAGGUGCAUGGCUGAUUGGCUACGUUCGGGAGGGAUAACCGCUGAAGGCAUCUAAGCGGGAAGCCUGUUUCGAGAUGAGUUCUCCUGGCAUCCUUUGGGUGUGUGAGGCUCCUUAGAGAUGAUGAGGUUGAUAGGCCGGGUAUGGAAGCGUUGUAAGGCGUGGAGUUGACUGGUACUAAUAGGCCGAAGACUUAUUCAC